UACGUAGGGGGCAAGCGUUAUCCGGAUUUACUGGGUGUAAAGGGAGCGUAGGUGGCAAGGCAAGUCAGAUGUGAAAACCCGGGGCCCAACCCCGGGAGUGCAUUUGAAACUGUCUGGCUGGAGUGCAGGAGAGGUAAGUGGAAUUCCUAGUGUAGCGGUGAAAUGCAUAGAUAUUAGGAGGAACACCAGUGGCGAAGGCGGCUUACUGGACUGUAACUGACACUGAGGCUCGAAAGCGUGGGGAGCAAACAGG
Molecule: ribosomal RNA, 253 nt
Filed under: uncultured bacterium
Lineage: Bacteria
Description: partial 16S ribosomal RNA
Rfam family: Bacterial small subunit ribosomal RNA
Source: RNAcentral